RNAcentral lists this long non-coding RNA (1294 nucleotides) under Mus musculus (house mouse). Its description in RNAcentral is "long non-coding RNA chr8:91055263-91056557". The record is from RNAcentral. Lineage: Eukaryota; Metazoa; Chordata; Mammalia; Rodentia; Muridae.
AAAGGACAGGACAAAGACAACCAUGGAAGAUGGCCCUGUAGCAGGCAGUAACGGGAGAGAUUUUGGUGACUGCCAGCCGAGGAACACCCAGGACAGGGACCACCGCUAGGGACAGGAGAGGUGCCGACAGAGCAGACUGCUUCAGAGCCUCUCUGGGACAUGCCACCAGCAUCUCCAUGGGCGUUUACUUUCAGCCUCAACUCUGAAGAACAUAUUCCUCUUGUUUUAAGACCUCCUCUUUGUGGCAUAAAGAAAAAGCAUACAUUUUCAUAUUAAAUUAUACUCCAUAAUAUUGGUAUAUGUACAAAUACUGAAUCCUGCAGUGUAGAAAUGAAACUCUUGCACCUAUCCCUAAAAAGUUACUUAAUUUCACUAAGUGUGCCUCUUUUUUUCUGUUACAUAAGAGGCUGAGAACUGAACCCAGGGCCUCCCACCUACUAGGCAAGCACUCUGCCACUGAGGUACACGGAGCACAAUUCCUGGUUUCCUCCAUAUGUAAGGAUUUUCAUUUAUGUUGCUGAGUUCAAAGAGAAACUUUUACUUCAAAUUGUUCUUGUCCUUGGUGAAAAAUAAGAUAUCCGUACCGGAAAAAUCAGAGGAGAGACAGAGCAUAAGGCAAGAGUUGCCCAGAGUGCUCACACCGAUGGAGACGCCUUGGUCCUUAAUGACCUUCAUAUUCAGAGAUGAGUGCUAACCUUUGCUUUCUGUGUGCAUUUACAGACUACUUUAGUAAGAGUGGAGUGAGGGAUAGUUGCAUGUGGUAACUCAUGCCUAUAAUAUUUAUGUCUGCAUAAAUAGGAAAUAGCUCUUUUGGAAGUGUUCAGUAUUAAAGCCCGUUAAAGAAGAGAAGGCAGGGAAACGGUUAUAUUCUAUUUUGCAGACUGCUUUUUUUCUGACCUUUAAAGUCAGUGUCUCCUGUAGCCCAGGCUGGCCUGGAGCUUACUCUGCAGGCAGAUAUAAACUUAAAUCUCAGAACUUCCCACCUCUACCUGCCAAGUGCUGGGAUUACAGGCGUGUGCUACCACAACUGGUAUAGUUAUGCUGUGAACUGAACACAGGGUUAUUCCUGCAUGCCAAGUGAACACUCUACUCUAACCACAUCUCCCAGCAACCUACUUAUUGCAUUUACUGUAUCAUGAUUAUAUCUCCAUGCCAUUGAAGAAGCUUACACAUUGUAAGGGCUUCUACUGUCCCACCAUACUGUUUAAGUAAUGCCUACUUAUUGAACAUUUAGUGUGGUUUUAGUACUGGGCUAGUUAAACAUAGUAUGUUAAUAGAUCAGUGUUUAAAGCUU